GUGGGAGCACUUUAUAUGUGUGACCGCGUACUUUUUGUAGAACGGGCCAACGAGUUACGACAGUAAGCAAGGUUAAGUACUUAAGGUAUGGAGCCGUAGUGAAAGCGAGUCUUAAAUGGGCGUUAAGUUUUCUGUCGUAGACCCGAAACCGGGCGACCUACCCAUGAGCAGGAUGAAGCGAAAGUAAAAUUUCGUGGAGGUCCGAACCCACGAGCGUUGAAAAGCUCGGGGAUGACUUGUGGGUAGCGGUGAAAUUCCAAUCGAGCCCGGAGAUAGCUGGUUCUCCCCGAAAUAGCUUUAGGGCUAGCCUCAAGGUUGAGAAAUACGGAGGUAGAGCACUGAAUAUCCUAGGGGGCAUUGCGCUUACCGAAGAUUAUCAAACUCCGAAUGCCGUUAUUUUAUACUUGGGAGUCAGACUGUGGGUAAUAAGAUUCAUAGUCGAGAGGGCAACAGCCCAGAUCGUCAGCUAAGGUCCCUAAAUGUAAGUUAAGUGGUAAAGGAUGUGGGAUUGCAUAGACAACCAGGAUGUUGGCUUAGAAGCAGCCACUCAUUUAAAGAGUGCGUAAUAGCUCACUGGUCGAGUGAUCCUGCGCCGAAGAUUACCGGGGCUAAAACUUACUACCGAAGCUACGAUAUCAUUUAUGAUAGGUAGGGGAGCUUCCUAUGCAGGCUGAAGCAUGACCGUAAGGACAUGUGGACAGUAUAGGAGUGAGAAUGUUGGCAUGAGUAGCGAGACGUGGGUGAGAAUCCCACGGGCCGUAAACCCAAGGUUUCCAGGGGAAGGUUCGUCCGCCCUGGGUUAGUCGGGACCUAAGCCGAGGCCGAAAGGCGUAGGUGAUGGACAACAGGUUGAGAUUCCUGUACCACCGAUAAUCGCUUGAGAGAAGGAAUGACACAGUAGGAUAAGCUAACCACACUGUUGGUUAUGUGUGGCUAAGUACUGAGGCAGUCAAGGUAGGCAAAUCCGCCUUGAUAAUGCUGGGGUACGAUGGGGAGCGAAAUUAAGUAGCGAAGUAGCUGAUUUCACACUGUCGAGAAAAGUUUCUAUCGAGAUUAAAGGUGCCCGUACCGCAAACCGACACAGGUGGGUGAGGAGAGUAUCCUAAGGCCAGCGAGAGAACUGUUGUUAAGGAACUCGGCAAAAUGACCCCGUAACUUAGGGAGAAGGGGUGCCACGUUAGGGUUAACGCCCGAGGUGGCCGCAGAGAAUAGGCCCAAGCGACUGUUUACCAAAAACACAGGUUUCUGCUAAGUCGCAAGACGAUGUAUAGGAGCUGACGCCUGCCCGGUGCUGGAAGGUUAAGGGGAUCUGUUAGGAUUUAUCCGAAGCAGUGAACUUAAGCCCCAGUAAACGGCGGCCGUAACUAUAACGGUCCUAAGGUAGCGAAAUUCCUUGUCGGGUAAGUUCCGACCCGCACGAAAGGCGUAACGAUUUGGGCACUGUCUCAACAACAGACUCGGUGAAAUUGUAAUCCCGGUGAAGAUGCCGGGUACCUGCGACAGGACGGAAAGACCCCAUGGAGCUUUACUGUAGCUUGACAUUGAAUUUUGGUGCUACAUGUACAGGAUAGGUGGGAGGCUAUGAAGUCGGGACGCCAGUCUCGGCGGAGCCAUCCUUGGGAUACCACCCUUGUAGUACUGAGAUUCUAACCAGAUACCUUGAAUCAGGUAUUGGGACACUGUCAGGUGGGCAGUUUGACUGGGGCGGUCGCCUCCCAAAGAGUAACGG
Molecule: ribosomal RNA, 1729 nt
Filed under: Bifidobacterium longum
Lineage: Bacteria; Bacillati; Actinomycetota; Actinomycetes; Bifidobacteriales; Bifidobacteriaceae
Description: partial 23S ribosomal RNA
Rfam family: Bacterial large subunit ribosomal RNA
Source: RNAcentral